Molecule: ribosomal RNA, 257 nt
Filed under: uncultured Pseudomonas sp.
Lineage: Bacteria; Pseudomonadati; Pseudomonadota; Gammaproteobacteria; Pseudomonadales; Pseudomonadaceae
Description: partial 16S ribosomal RNA
Rfam family: Bacterial small subunit ribosomal RNA
Source: RNAcentral
CGGCGGACGGGUGAGUAAUGCCUAGGAAUCUGCCUGGUAGUGGGGGACAACGUUUCGAAAGGAACGCUAAUACCGCAUACGUCCUACGGGAGAAAGCAGGGGACCUUCGGGCCUUGCGCUAUCAGAUGAGCCUAGGUCGGAUUAGCUAGUUGGUGAGGUAAUGGCUCACCAAGGCGACGAUCCGUAACUGGUCUGAGAGAAUGAUCAGUCACACUGGAACUGAGACACGGUCCAGACUCCUACGGGAGGCAGCAGAC